GAGUUUGAUCUUGGCUCAGAACGAACGCUGGCGGCAUGCCUAACACAUGCAAGUCGAACGCUCGUAGCAAUACGGGAGUGGCGCACGGGUGAGUAACGCGUGGGAACCUGCCUAGUGGUAAGGAAUAACUGCGGGAAACUGCGGCUAAUACCUUAUGAGCCCUACGGGGGAAAGAUUUAUCGCCAUUAGAGGGGCCCGCGUCCGAUUAGCUAGUUGGUGAGGUAACGGCUCACCAAGGCGACGAUCGGUAGCUGGUCUGAGAGGAUGAUCAGCCACACUGGGACUGAGACACGGCCCAGACUCCUACGGGAGGCAGCAGUGGGGAGUAUUGGACAAUGGGGGCAACCCUGAUCCAGCAAUGCCGCGUGAGUGAUGAAGGCCUUAGGGUUGUAAAGCUCUUUCGACGGGGAAGAUGAUGACGGUACCCGUAGAAGAAGCCCCGGCUAACUUCGUGCCAGCAGCCGCAGU
This 468-nucleotide ribosomal RNA is filed under the name uncultured Alphaproteobacteria bacterium. RNAcentral describes it as "bacterial SSU rRNA". It matches the Rfam family "Bacterial small subunit ribosomal RNA", at positions 9 to 521 of the family's 1533-position model. Lineage: Bacteria; Pseudomonadati; Pseudomonadota; Alphaproteobacteria. The record is from RNAcentral.